RNAcentral lists this long non-coding RNA (1104 nucleotides) under Junco hyemalis (dark-eyed junco). Its description in RNAcentral is "lncRNA (ENSJHYG00000005461.1)". Lineage: Eukaryota; Metazoa; Chordata; Aves; Passeriformes; Passerellidae. The record is from RNAcentral.
CGGGGUGGGACCGGAUCCUGCGUGGCUCCCAACAAUUCAGUGAAGCAGAGGCAGGCGGAGCAGGAGCUGCUGCUGAAGUGACUCUGUCACAACCACAAGGUCACCAAGGCCCCUGCAGCAGAGCCCCUCCAGUCCCCAAACCAGCCCGUGGUGGCAGGAAGCACGUUCUGGUUAUCACCAAAACUGCAUCAAACCACAGGCUCAGGUCUGAACCCAUCGAGUUUCUAAUCAGCAGUGAAAGGCAGUGCAAAAAUACCACCAUGUACAGCUCAGCUCUGCUCAGCUUAUCCACAUUUUUCUACAUUUCCUGCAUUUGAAGCUACAAAGGAUUGAAAACAAAUUUUGUCAUCAAAUGUGGAGCUGUGCCAAAUCACAGGCAGCCAGAAGAAAGCUUUGGCACAGAAAGAGCUUUGAUGGCGAGAGGAAGAAAGAUGAAAUAGCUUUGAGUGAGAGAAAGAGCAACGAGAUUGUUCCAGCCCAAAGAGAGAGAAGCUCUGCUGUUCUCUCCCCUGCUCACUCACAGACCUGCUUGCCUGGGAGCCCUGCUGUGAUCUCUGGUCCAUCCAGAAUGUCCCCUCUGUCCCCCAGGGCAGCCUCAGGACGCUGCAGGAACUGGGCAGUGCAUGGCAAAGGCUCAGCUGGGACAUGGGUGCCUGCAAAGAGCCUGGACAGCCCAAGAAGGGACAAUUUCAGGGAGCUGGGAGGUUCAAGAGGAUUCCCAGCACAGAAGGAGGAAUCUCCCUGCUGCCUGCACAUCCCACCUUGCUGCCCUGCAGGGAGCAGCCCCUGCUCUGUCACUCCUGUGCCCAUGGCUCUCCUGCUUCCCACAUCCCUCCUGGCAGCAGCCAGCAAGGCCAGAGACCAGAGGCUGGAAGGGCUGUGGGGAAAAUCACCCCAAAAUAAGUUAGAGCAACUCAAGAAGAGGAUCCAGGAGCAGAAGAGAAAGCAGCAAACAGCACCCUGGGAGGAGGAGCGCCUGAUUUUUGCUAAAGACCCCCUGCCAAAGAGAGCCCUGAAAAGAAAGGUUUGCAGAGUGGCCUCUGCUCCUCCUGCUCACAGAGGUCAGUGGUGGUCUGGAAUCUCUGGAGAAAGGCUGGAACUGGG